RNAcentral lists this small RNA (300 nucleotides) under Pongo abelii (Sumatran orangutan). RNAcentral's name for it is "processed transcript". Lineage: Eukaryota; Metazoa; Chordata; Mammalia; Primates; Hominidae. The record is from RNAcentral.
UUUCUUUGCAAAAAAAUUAAAGAAAGUAAGACAUCAUGGUCCAUUUCUAUUCUUCCCUUUUAAGUUACCACAGCACUUUGCCCUUGGUGACUGGAGGCCUUGCUUUAGUCAGUACCUGUGUGCUGUUUACCACCAGAGGCUUGGCCUUCUCCACACUUUUUAAAGAGACCCGUUGACAGAAUUGUUACAACCAUUCAGCCAGGGUUGUGGACCCUUGGCACAUUAGUCCUUGGCACUGCUGACAUUUGGGCCCAGGCUAAAGCGAGCAGUCCUCAGGGUUUUGAUGUGGAUCGAGAUGCC